AUGGCCUUCUCACCGUGGUUGCAGAUGGUGCUGCUCGUCGCCCUCGUCCUGUCCGCCCCGGCGCCCGCGGUUCUCGCGGCCGGCAGCAGCAAGGCCACCCGCAUCCGCCUCUACAUCCACGAGAGGUUCGAGGGCGCGAACGCGACGGUGGCGUCGCCGCUGCUGCGGUCCCCGCUGGGCGGCAACGCCACCUUCGGGGAGCCCGGCGUGAUCGACGACGAGCUCCGCGCCGGCCCGCGCCCUGGGUCCGACCUCGUCGGCAGGUUCCAGGGCUUCUUCGUCGGCACGGACCGGGCCGGGCCGAGUUACCUGUCCACCAUCACGCUCGUGUUCACCGCCGGGGAGCGCCGCGGGAGCACACUGACGGUGCAGGGCCAGUACCAUUUCGACUUCGACGGCGCGGCCGUGGAGCGCGCCGUCGUGGGCGGCACCGGGGUGUUCAGGAUGGCGCGCGGGUACUCCUUCAUGAAGGUCGUCAGCGCGCCGACGCCGGAGACGGUCGUGUUCAGGAUCGACCUGUUCGUGCUCCUGCCCCGCCCCGGCCACUACUUCUAG
This 555-nucleotide ribosomal RNA is filed under the name Triticum aestivum (bread wheat). Its description in RNAcentral is "partial small subunit ribosomal RNA". Lineage: Eukaryota; Viridiplantae; Streptophyta; Magnoliopsida; Poales; Poaceae. The record is from RNAcentral.